CCUACGGGAGGCAGCAGUAGGGAAUAUUGCUCAAUGGGGGAAACCCUGAAGCAGCAACGCCGCGUGGAGGAUGAAGGUUUUAGGAUUGUAAACUCCUUUUGUGAGAGAAGAUAAUGACGGUAUCUCACGAAUAAGCACCGGCUAACUCCGUGCCAGCAGCCGCGGUAAUACGGAGGGGGCAAGCGUUACUCGGAAUCACUGGGCGUAAAGGGUGCGCAGGCGGAAGAGCAAGUCAGCGGUAAAAUUGAGAGGCUCAACCUCUGUGAGCCGUUGAAACUGGUUUUCUUGAGUGAGCGAGAAGUAUGCGGAAUGCGUGGUGUAGCGGUGAAAUGCAUAGAUAUCACGCAGAACUCCGAUUGCGAAGGCAGCAUACCGGCGCUCAACUGACGCUCAUGCACGAAAGUGUGGGUAUCGAACAGGAUUAGAUACCCGAGUAGUC
RNAcentral lists this ribosomal RNA (439 nucleotides) under uncultured bacterium. RNAcentral's name for it is "partial 16S ribosomal RNA". It matches the Rfam family "Bacterial small subunit ribosomal RNA", at positions 338 to 795 of the family's 1533-position model. The record is from RNAcentral.